GGAGUGCAUACACGGAAGCCUUUGCAGCUGGAGACAGUAAGCUGAGCGACUCAAAACAAGAUCAGCCCCAUGCAAGUCGGCGCUCGCGCUGGCGACACUUUCGAACUGACGGGGAAACCCUAAAGCCCUUCCCACCAAACCAGUCCGGGGAAACCCGCUGGCGGCCUGUCCUAGCAGUACAGGGUAUGGUAACAGAGGAAGGGAUGAUCUGGGCAGCAGCAGCCGCCUGGUGAAGUGGGCAAUCCGCAGCGAAGCCCCUAAGGCCUCCGGGUACGGGGAACGUUCACAGACUAAGUGGAAGUGGGUGGAGCCCUAGCAGGCUCUGCUUAAGAUAUAGUCGGGACCCUGGGGAAACCCAGGGCGGUAUUCAGAAACCGUUCCGUAGGUGAACCUUCGGAAGGAUCAUUAUCGAAAUGCAGCGGGGGCAGACAGCUCCAAGGCCGCCGGCCCCCGCGUACACGCAUUAUCCACCCUUGACUUUGAGCACCGUUUGUUUCCUCGGCGGGGACGCCCGCCAGCGAGGACCCCAUUGAACCCUUUGCAGUAGCAGUAUUUGUCUGAAAAAAAAAACACAAAAAUCACAACUUUCAACAAUGGAUCUCUUGGUUCUGGCAUCGAUGAAGAACGCAGCGAAAUGCGAUAAGUAGUGUGAAUUGCAGAAUUCAGUGAAUCAUCGAAUCUUUGAACGCACAUUGCGCCCCUCGGUAUUCCUUGGGGCAUGCCUGUUCGAGCGUCAUUUAACCCUUCAAGCUCAGCUUGGUGUUGGGUGCUUGUCCCGCCUCCCGCGCGGCGACUCACCUCAAAGUCAUUGGCAGCCCGCACCCGCCGGCCAUGAGCGCAGCACAGUCGCGCUCCGGGCUCCGGCAGGGUCGGCUCCCCAUAAGCAACCCCCCAAAAUUGACCUCGGAUCAGGUAGGAUUACCCGCUGAACUUAAGCAUAUCAAUAA
Molecule: unclassified non-coding RNA, 947 nt
Filed under: Parathyridaria percutanea
Lineage: Eukaryota; Fungi; Ascomycota; Dothideomycetes; Pleosporales; Thyridariaceae
Description: sequence contains ITS1, 5.8S rRNA gene and ITS2
Rfam family: 5.8S ribosomal RNA (bases 583-736)
Source: RNAcentral